CAGAAAGUAACUUUACUCAAUGCAUUUUUGAGAUCAAUAAUUCAGAGCACCAUGCUUGCUCUUUUUUUUAGCUUGCUACUGAAAACAGAAGGGUAAUUAAGACAAUCUAUUUUCUUUGAACAAAUUUAACUCCCUCCAGUAUACACAUCUGCUUUGAUUUUCUUGCACUUAGUUUAUGAACUUGUGAUUACAGUCAUUUUGGAAUGAAGGAAGCACAAUAAUGAUAACCUGCUCACAUGGCAUCACAAUUCAUGAACAGCAUUUGCUGGCUGAUUGAUUUAGCAGGUAUGGGUAGAAGUAUCAAUGACAAAGAACACAAAUAUGUUGUGGUUUUGUGUUUCAAUACAGAAAGGCAGAAAUGUAAUUAGACAGGAAGCAAUGAUGUAGGAGUAACUAGUCAUUUGCCAUUAUUCAUCUAUCAAUUCAACCAGCAUUUACAGAGUGUUCACUAUGAACAGUUGUCACUGUCUGUUGAGUCUUUUACUAGUUUGAACUCCCUGAGGAAUUGUCCCUGUCAUGUGUCAUUUCUAUCUUUGUAUACUCAAUAUAUAAUACUGUACUGGCUUCAGAGUAAGGACAUAAUGAACAAGCAUCGAGUUGAACCGAAUUGGGUUGUCUGGUUCUGGCAAAUAGGGGGUAAUUAAAAAGUUCAUGGGUUCAGUGACCUCUGCCUAAUAGGGCAGGAAUUAUUGGCAGCAAGUAAGCAACAUAUGACAGCAAUGAGUUGCUACUACAUGCUAAGUACUUUUAUUUAUAGCAAUUUUAACCUCAACAACCCUGUGUGUGUGGAAGGGGGGCGGAGGGAUUACUAUAUAGAGAAACUAAGACUGAGAACCUUUUUUUAUUAUUUUAGAUUCAGGGGGUACAUGUGCAGGUGUUUUUUACAUGUUUAUAUUGUAUAAUACUGGGCUUUGAGCUUCUGUUGAACUCAUCACUUAAGUAGUGAAUGUACAUUCAAUAAGUAGUUUUUCAACUCUUGCCCCUCUCUCAUUUUGGAAUCCUAGUGUCUAUUGUUUCCAUUGUUUAUGCCAAUAUGUACUCAUUGUUUAUCUCCCACUUAUAAGGGAGAACAUGCAGUGUUUGAUUUUCUGUUUCUACGUUAAUUCACUUAGGAUAAUGGCCUCCAGCUGCCUCCGUAUUGCUACAAAGAACAUGAUUUUAUCCUUUUUUAUGGCUGUGUAGUAUCCCAUGAUGUAUA
This 1198-nucleotide long non-coding RNA is filed under the name Homo sapiens (human). RNAcentral describes it as "HSALNT0074599". Lineage: Eukaryota; Metazoa; Chordata; Mammalia; Primates; Hominidae. The record is from RNAcentral.